UGAGGAAUAUUGGUCAAUGGACGAGAGUCUGAACCAGCCAAGUCGCGUGAAGGAAGACGGAUCUAUGGUUUGUAAACUUCUUUAGUGUGGGAACAAAGCGUGGUUGCGACCGCAGAUGAGUGUACCACAAGAAUAAGCAUCGGCUAACUCCGUGCCAGCAGCCGCGGUAAUACGGGGGAUGCGAGCGUUAUCCGGAUUCAUUGGGUUUAAAGGGUGCGUAGGCGGCUUUGCAAGUCAGCGGUGAAAGGCCCGGGCUCAACCCGGAAAGUGCCGUUGAUACUGUGAGGCUGGAAUGCGGAUGCUGUGGGAGGAAUGAGUGGUGUAGCGGUGAAAUGCAUAGAUAUCACUCAGAACACCGAUUGCGAAGGCAUCUCACAAAUCCGCAAUUGACGCUGAGGCACGAAAGCGUGGGGAUCGAACAGGAUUAGAUACCCUGGUAGU
RNAcentral lists this ribosomal RNA (441 nucleotides) under uncultured Barnesiella sp. RNAcentral's name for it is "bacterial SSU rRNA". It matches the Rfam family "Bacterial small subunit ribosomal RNA", at positions 355 to 794 of the family's 1533-position model. The record is from RNAcentral. Lineage: Bacteria; Pseudomonadati; Bacteroidota; Bacteroidia; Bacteroidales; Barnesiellaceae.